RNAcentral lists this unclassified non-coding RNA (352 nucleotides) under soil metagenome. Its description in RNAcentral is "partial contains 5.8S ribosomal RNA, internal transcribed spacer 2, and large subunit ribosomal RNA". The stretch from base 1 to 120 matches the Rfam family "5.8S ribosomal RNA", at positions 35 to 154 of the family's 154-position model. The record is from RNAcentral.
GAUGAAGAACGUAGCGAAAUGCGAUACGUAGUGUGAAUUGCAGAAUCCAGUGAAUCAUCGAAUCUUUGAACGCACAUUGCGCCCGCCAGUAUUCUGGCGGGCAUGCCUGUUCGAGCGUCAUUACAACCCUCAGGCCCCCGGGCCUGGCGUUGGGGAUCGGCGGAGCCCCCCGUGGGCACACGCCGUCCCCCAAAUACAGUGGCGGUCCCGCCGCAGCUUCCAUCGCGUAGUAGCUAACACCUCGCGACUGGAGAGCGGCGCGGCCACGCCGUAAAACACCCAACUCUUCUGAAGUUGACCUCGAAUCAGGUAGGAAUACCCGCUGAACUUAAGCAUAUCAAUAAGCGGAGGA